AUUGAACGCUGGCGGCAGGCCUAACACAUGCAAGUCGAGCGGAUGAAGGGAGCUUGCUCCUGGAUUCAGCGGCGGACGGGUGAGUAAUGCCUAGGAAUCUGCCUGGUAGUGGGGGAUAACGUCCGGAAACGGGCGCUAAUACCGCAUACGUCCUGAGGGAGAAAGUGGGGGAUCUUCGGACCUCACGCUAUCAGAUGAGCCUAGGUCGGAUUAGCUAGUUGGUGGGGUAAAGGCCUACCAAGGCGACGAUCCGUAACUGGUCUGAGAGGAUGAUCAGUCACACUGGAACUGAGACACGGUCCAGACUCCUACGGGAGGCAGCAGUGGGGAAUAUUGGACAAUGGGCGAAAGCCUGAUCCAGCCAUGCCGCGUGUGUGAAGAAGGUCUUCGGAUUGUAAAGCACUUUAAGUUGGGAGGAAGGGCAGUAAGUUAAUACCUUGCUGUUUUGACGUUACCAACAGAAUAAGCACCGGCUAACUUCGUGCCAGCAGCCGCGGUAAUACGAAGGGUGCAAGCGUUAAUCGGAAUUACUGGGCGUAAAGCGCGCGUAGGUGGUUCAGCAAGUUGGAUGUGAAAUCCCCGGGCUCAACCUGGGAACUGCAUCCAAAACUACUGAGCUAGAGUACGGUAGAGGGUGGUGGAAUUUCCUGUGUAGCGGUGAAAUGCGUAGAUAUAGGAAGGAACACCAGUGGCGAAGGCGACCACCUGGACUGAUACUGACACUGAGGUGCGAAAGCGUGGGGAGCAAACAGGAUUAGAUACCCUGGUAGUCCACGCCGUAAACGAUGUCGACUAGCCGUUGGGAUCCUUGAGAUCUUAGUGGCGCAGCUAACGCGAUAAGUCGACCGCCUGGGGAGUACGGCCGCAAGGUUAAAACUCAAAUGAAUUGACGGGGGCCCGCACAAGCGGUGGAGCAUGUGGUUUAAUUCGAAGCAACGCGAAGAACCUUACCUGGCCUUGACAUGCUGAGAACUUUCCAGAGAUGGAUUGGUGCCUUCGGGAACUCAGACACAGGUGCUGCAUGGCUGUCGUCAGCUCGUGUCGUGAGAUGUUGGGUUAAGUCCCGUAACGAGCGCAACCCUUGUCCUUAGUUACCAGCACCUCGGGUGGGCACUCUAAGGAGACUGCCGGUGACAAACCGGAGGAAGGUGGGGAUGACGUCAAGUCAUCAUGGCCCUUACGGCCAGGGCUACACACGUGCUACAAUGGUCGGUACAAAGGGUUGCCAAGCCGCGAGGUGGAGCUAAUCCCAUAAAACCGAUCGUAGUCCGGAUCGCAGUCUGCAACUCGACUGCGUGAAGUCGGAAUCGCUAGUAAUCGUGAAUCAGAAUGUCACGGUGAAUACGUUCCCGGGCCUUGUACACACCGCCCGUCACACCAUGGGAGUGGGUUGCUCCAGAAGUAGCUAGUCUAACCGCAAGGGGGACGGUUACCACGGAGUGAUUCAUGACUGGGGUGAAGUCGUAACAAGGUAGCCGUAGGGGAACCUGCGGCUGGAUCACCUCCUUAAUCGAAGAUCCCGGCUUCUUCAUAAGCUCCCACACGAAUUGCUUGAUUCACUGGUUAGACGAUUGGGUCUGUAGCUCAGUUGGUUAGAGCGCACCCCUGAUAAGGGUGAGGUCGGCAGUUCGAAUCUGCCCAGACCCACCAAUUGUUGGUGUGCUGCGUGAUCCGAUACGGGGCCAUAGCUCAGCUGGGAGAGCGCCUGCUUUGCACGCAGGAGGUCAGGAGUUCGAUCCUCCUUGGCUCCACCAUCUAAAACAAUCGUCGAAAGCUCAGAAAUGAAUGUUCGUGAAUGAACAUUGAUUUCUGGUCUUUGCACCAGAACUGUUCUUUAAAAAUUCGGGUAUGUGAUAGAAGUAAGACUGAAUGAUCUCUUUCACUGGUGAUCAUUCAAGUCAAGGUAAAAUUUGCGAGUUCAAGCGCGAAUUUUCGGCGAAUGUCGUCUUCACAGUAUAACCAGAUUGCUUGGGGUUAUAUGGUCAAGUGAAGAAGCGCAUACGGUGGAUGCCUUGGCAGUCAGAGGCGAUGAAAGACGUGGUAGCCUGCGAAAAGCUUCGGGGAGUCGGCAAACAGACUUUGAUCCGGAGAUCUCUGAAUGGGGGAACCCACCUAGGAUAACCUAGGUAUCUUGUACUGAAUCCAUAGGUGCAAGAGGCGAACCAGGGGAACUGAAACAUCUAAGUACCCUGAGGAAAAGAAAUCAACCGAGAUUCCCUUAGUAGUGGCGAGCGAACGGGGAUUAGCCCUUAAGCUUCAUUGAUUUUAGCGGAACGCUCUGGAAAGUGCGGCCAUAGUGGGUGAUAGCCCCGUACGCGAAAGGAUCUUUGAAGUGAAAUCGAGUAGGACGGAGCACGAGAAACUUUGUCUGAACAUGGGGGGACCAUCCUCCAAGGCUAAAUACUACUGACUGACCGAUAGUGAACC
RNAcentral lists this ribosomal RNA (2427 nucleotides) under uncultured Pseudomonas sp. RNAcentral's name for it is "partial contains 16S ribosomal RNA, 16S-23S ribosomal RNA intergenic spacer, and 23S ribosomal RNA". The stretch from base 1 to 1509 matches the Rfam family "Bacterial small subunit ribosomal RNA". The record is from RNAcentral. Lineage: Bacteria; Pseudomonadati; Pseudomonadota; Gammaproteobacteria; Pseudomonadales; Pseudomonadaceae.